AUUAAUUUCAAUCAGAACAUUUUUAAUGAUAUCUCGGCUGAGUUUGUAAAUGAUUCCGGUCUGGUUUUUCUUCUUUUGCGUCUGGGAAACCAUGUAAACACUUAAAAACACAUAUCAUUUUGUCCAAUGAUCAUUAAACUUGCUCAGAACAUUUGUUCUAAUGAUUUCGAGGUCGAGUAUGAAAUAAGUUCCGGUCCAUUAAAAAACAAGCUUAGCGAUUCUACUGACCUAUUGUGUAGACAGCGAUGUUUCAACAAAAGGGAUUAAAAUGUGCGAAAGCGACUCUUUGCGGAUAAUGGAGCGUGUCUGUCAAAAUCGUCAAUACUAUGCGUAUCCUUGGAAAUUUAUGAAAUUCUUCGCUGGAUUAUAGUGUGCAAUCGAUAAUUGCCGGGCAUAAUAUCGGAUGAUUGAUAACGAUAGCGGAAGUGGCAAAUGCGCGGUUAUUUUCGGGCACUAUUUUUUUCAGAAAUAUUUUGUUUACAAGACGAAAAAAGUAGGGUCGGGACCAAAAUCGUAGGUAGGGUCGGGUUACCCGAAACACACAUUUUUGUUUGUUUGGCCUAGUUGAAACUUCUAUAUCUUCAGACUCCAACUCUAUAUAUCGCAAAGUGUAAGAUAUUGCUACUGCAAUAAAUGAUGUAGCCAUUAUUGACAGAUUGGCAAGUGUUCCAAAUGGUGAUCUUGUAGCCAUUGAGGCUCGAUAUCAUAGAAAAAAGGUUGUUUGACUAAAUACUACCAGUGUAAUAAUUAUGCAUUUUCCGGGCUGACACCCAAUAAGGCCACUUCUGAAAACCAAACAAUUGUAUACACAAUAAUAAAUGAGAUAAUUAAAAAUGAAUUGGAGCAUUCUAUUGUUGUUGAUAAAAAGGUGUUCUUCUUAACUACAUUAAUAAAACGUUUUAUUGAAAUUGCUGAAUCAGAAGGAUGUUCAAAUGAUGCAAACUCUUAUAAAAGUUCCAAUUUGAAAAAGUUGUUUGAAAAAUUAUGGCCAGAGGUAUCCUUUAUUCAUCAGCAUGAAAAGCCUGACCUUGUUUGUUCGUCUAGUUUGACUAUUAAUGAUGCUGUCAGAAAGUCAAAGGAGAUGGAAAAGGUCAUUCAAGAUGACAAUGAGUGUUCAUACGAUGAACAACCAGUGUCAGAGGACGACACAGAUGAAGCUGUAGUUCAUAAGGCGAUGGGUAUUUUGAGAAGACGAAUUAUAGAGAAUACUCCUAAAUUUGAUGACUUCUUUUACGCUCCAGAAGAAAUCAAAUUGUCAGAUCAGAAGCAGUUUGUGGAGCCUUUUCUUUACAAGGCAGUGUGUUGGUUACAUGACAAAAAUGCUACAAGGAAGCUUCUGAGAGGACCAUUACAAGAUGUCAAGCUGCUGCUUGUGACCUAACUACACUUGUCACGUAAAACCCAUCCUCUAAACACCUGAGCUUAGGGAUACACGUCAACAGCGAGUUUGGCAGCCGCCAUCUGAUUGAAGAAAUGUACUCUUUUGUUUAUUCCAUCUCAUAUCCAGAUCUUCGGGUAUUCUUGACAUCAGCAGCCCAACCGAAAAUUGCAUCACAUUGAAUAACAGACUCUGGUGGUAUUGUACCAGACAAUAUACUACCUAAAGACCAAAGGGGGAAGCUUGUAGUGGCAGUUGCUUAUAACUGGAAUCUGAAUGAGCGAACAGUUGAUGGUAAAAGGACGACUCAUGCGAUGACAAGCAUGUUGGUCAGCAGUGCGCCAGCCGAGUCAACGAGGAUUCCACGACUUCCGAAAGCAACAAUGCAGUGUUUUAACACUGAAUGUCAUGGAGCCCAUAUACGACUUCGUAUCAGCCCGUACACAGCCUAUGUACACCCUUGGGGUAACGCUGUUCACAGGUUCAUGGUGUGGCCUACUGUGCACGUUAGCGGCG
Molecule: long non-coding RNA, 1894 nt
Organism: Dreissena polymorpha
Lineage: Eukaryota; Metazoa; Mollusca; Bivalvia; Myida; Dreissenidae
Exons: 3
Source: RefSeq, a predicted model, not a curated record